This 406-nucleotide ribosomal RNA is filed under the name uncultured bacterium. Its description in RNAcentral is "bacterial SSU rRNA". It matches the Rfam family "Bacterial small subunit ribosomal RNA", at positions 355 to 777 of the family's 1533-position model. The record is from RNAcentral.
UCGGGAAUAUUGCGCAAUGGAGGAAACUCUGACGCAGUGACGCCGCGUAUAGGAAGAAGGUUUUAGGAUUGUAAACUAUUUUAGACAGGGAAGAAAAAUGACAGUACCUGUAGAAUAAGCUCCGGCUAACUACGUGCCAGCAGCCGCGGUAAUACGUAGGGAGCAAGCGUUAUCCGGAAUUAUUGGGUGUAAAGGGUGCGUAGACGGGAAUACAAGUUGGUUGUGAAAGCCCUCGGCUCAACUGAGGAACUGCAACCAAAACUAUAUUUCUUGAGUGCAGGAGAGGAAAGCGGAAUUCCUAGUGUAGCGGUGAAAUGCGUAGAUAUUAGGAGGAACACCAGUGGCGAAGGCGGCUUUCUGGACUGUAACUGACGUUGAGGCACGAAAGUGUGGGGAGCAAACAGGA